AUACGUAGGUGGCAAGCGUUGUCCGGAAUUAUUGGGCGUAAAGCGCGCGCAGGCGGUCCUUUAAGUCUGAUGUGAAAGCCCACGGCUCAACCGUGGAGGGUCAUUGGAAACUGGGGGACUUGGGUGCAGAAGAGGAAAGUGGAAUUCCAAGUGUAGCGGUGAAAUGCGUAGAGAUUUGGAGGAACACCAGUGGCGAAGGCGACUUUCUGGUCUGUAACUGACGCUGAGGCGCGAAAGCGUGGGGAGCAAACAGGAUUAGAUACCCUGGUAGUCCACGCCGUAAACGAUGAGUGCUAAGUGUUAGGGGGUUUCCGCCCCUUAGUGCUGCAGCUAACGCAUUAAGCACUCCGCCUGGGGGGUACGGUCGCAAGGUUGAAACUCAAAGGAAUUGACGGGG
Molecule: ribosomal RNA, 397 nt
Filed under: uncultured bacterium
Lineage: Bacteria
Description: partial 16S ribosomal RNA
Rfam family: Bacterial small subunit ribosomal RNA
Source: RNAcentral